RNAcentral lists this ribosomal RNA (480 nucleotides) under uncultured bacterium. Its description in RNAcentral is "bacterial SSU rRNA". It matches the Rfam family "Bacterial small subunit ribosomal RNA", at positions 33 to 507 of the family's 1533-position model. The record is from RNAcentral.
GGACGACGCUGGCGGCGUGCCUAACACAUGCAAGUCGAACGGAGAUCCUUGGAUUGAGACUUCGGUCAAAUGAAUUGGAUCUUAGUGGCGAACGGGUGAGUAACGCGUGAGCAACCUGCCUUUCAGAGGGGGACAACAGUUGGAAACGGCUGCUAAUACCGCAUAACACAUCGAGGAGGCAUCUUUUAUGUACCAAAGAUUUAUCGCUGAAAGAUGGGCUCGCGUCCGAUUAGGUAGUUGGUGAGGUAACGGCUCACCAAGCCGACGAUCGGUAGCCGGACUGAGAGGUUGAACGGCCACAUUGGGACUGAGACACGGCCCAGACUCCUACGGGAGGCAGCAGUGGGGAAUAUUGGGCAAUGGGGGAAACCCUGACCCAGCAACGCCGCGUGGAGGAAGAAGGUUUUCGGAUCGUAAACUCCUGUCCUCAGGGAAGAGUAGAAGACGGUACCUGAGGAGGAAGCCCCGGCUAACUACGUG